Molecule: ribosomal RNA, 407 nt
Filed under: uncultured prokaryote
Also listed under: 1 other name
Description: bacterial SSU rRNA
Rfam family: Bacterial small subunit ribosomal RNA
Source: RNAcentral
UGGGGAAUAUUGGGCAAUGGGCGCAAGCCUGACCCAGCAACGCCGCGUGAAGGAAGAAGGUUUUCGGAUUGUAAACUUCUGUCCUUGGGGACGAAACAAAUGACGGUACCCAAGGAGGAAGCCCCGGCUAACUACGUGCCAGCAGCCGCGGUAAUACGUAGGGGGCAAGCGUUGUCCGGAAUUACUGGGCGUAAAGGGAGCGUAGGCGGUCUGUUAAGUGGGAUGUGAAAAACCCGGGCUUAACCCGGGAGGUGCAUUCUAAACUGGCAGACUUGAGUGUGGGAGAGGAAAGUGGAAUUCCUAGUGUAGCGGUGAAAUGCGUAGAUAUUAGGAGGAACACCAGUGGCGAAGGCGGCUUUCUGGACCAUAACUGACGCUGAGGCUCGAAAGCGUGGGGAGCAAACAGG